The sequence is a ribosomal RNA, 850 nucleotides long. It matches the Rfam family "Bacterial small subunit ribosomal RNA", at positions 72 to 906 of the family's 1533-position model.
UUCGGGGUGAUUCUGGUGGAAUGAGCGGCGGACGGGUGAGUAACACGUGGGCAACCUGCCUGUAAGACUGGGAUAACUUCGGGAAACCGGAGCUAAUACCGGAUAGUAUUUCCUUUCUCCUGAUUGGAAAUGGAAAGACGGUUUCGGCUGUCACUUACAGAUGGGCCCGCGGUGCAUUAGCUAGUUGGUGGGGUAAUGGCCCACCAAGGCGACGAUGCAUAGCCGACCUGAGAGGGUGAUCGGCCACACUGGGACUGAGACACGGCCCAGACUCCUACGGGAGGCAGCAGUAGGGAAUCUUCCGCAAUGGACGAAAGUCUGACGGAGCAACGCCGCGUGAGCGAUGAAGGCCUUCGGGUCGUAAAGCUCUGUUGUUAGGGAAGAACAAGUACGAGAGUAACUGCUCGUACCUUGACGGUACCUAACCAGAAAGCCCCGGCUAACUACGUGCCAGCAGCCGCGGUAAUACGUAGGGGGCAAGCGUUGUCCGGAAUUAUUGGGCGUAAAGGGCUCGUAGGCGGUUUCUUAAGUCUGAUGUGAAAGCCCACAGCUCAACUGUGGAGGGUCAUUGGAAACUGGGGAACUUGAGUGCAGAAGAGGAGAGUGGAAUUCCACGUGUAGCGGUGAAAUGCGUAGAUAUGUGGAGGAACACCAGUGGCGAAGGCGACUCUCUGGUCUGUAACUGACGCUGAGGAGCGAAAGCGUGGGGAGCAAACAGGAUUAGAUACCCUGGUAGUCCACGCCGUAAACGAUGAGUGCUAGGUGUUAGGGGGUUUCCGCCCCUUAGUGCUGAAGUUAACGCAUUAAGCACUCCGCCUGGGGAGUACGGCCGCAAGGCUGAAACUCAAAA